Molecule: long non-coding RNA, 3043 nt
Organism: Eriocheir sinensis (Chinese mitten crab)
Lineage: Eukaryota; Metazoa; Arthropoda; Malacostraca; Decapoda; Varunidae
Exons: 9
Source: RefSeq, a predicted model, not a curated record
CUGUGUGUGUCUGUGUGUCUGUGUGUGUGUGUGUGUGUGUGCUAUAACUAUAUUUCUUUACGUUAAUUUAUUUUAUGGGGAUAUAAAAGCGAUUUCUCAAGAGUUUAAAAAAUAUAUAGAAUCACACCUGUUUCAAUUGGGCAGAGCUCAUUUGGUCGCUAAUCUGUACUUCCUUUCAUAAGAGCUUUGGGCCGUAUUAAAAAGAUAAUGUAUAUGAUUUUUUUAAUAGUCCUGUGUAAGAAAGAUAAAUGGGAGGAUAAGAUAGAGAAGAGAAUAGGAUAAUCAGGAUAAUAAUUUGAGUCUUUGAUAAAUGGGGAAUUAGACAAGAGAAAAAGUUCACCUCUAAGUUCAUUGACCUGUCUCAUUUUCCUUCCUCCUCUUCCUCUCCUUCUCUUUUUUCCUCCUCCUCUAUCUUCCUAUUCUUCCUUCUCAUAUUGUAUUCUACGCAUCCCGAACUCUACAGGAACCCAAAACUUCUCGGAUUGAACUUGUAAUAAGGUUAGGAUAAUUUUGGGGUGUAGAUAAUUAGGCUGCUUAAAGUAAAAAGAUAUAAUUGUGUCAGAAAUAUAAGGGAAAAUAGAGUAAGGUUAGUCUUGUUUAUAAUUAGAAUGGAAUAAGGAAAAGAAGGGAAUGAAUGGGAUGUUUAAAGGAAAAAAAUGAGAAAAAUAUAGUUAGAUUAGGUUACGUUAAUAUAUAGUUUGAAAUAAAGGAGAAAAAGAGAAUUAAGAAGAUUGAGUAAGGUUAGUCUAGUUCAUAAUUAGAAUUAGAUUAGGAAAAGAAGGGAAUGAAUGAGAUUUUAAAAGGAAAAAAAUGAGAAAAAUAUAGUUAGAUUAGGUUACGUUAAUAUAUAGUUUGAAAUAAAGGAGAAAAAGAGAAUUAAGAAGAUUGAGUAAAGUUCAUAAUUAGAAUCAAAUAAGGAAAAGAAGGGAAUGAAUGAGAUGUUUAAAGGAAAAAAAUGAGAAAAAUAUAGUUAGAUUAGGUUACGUUAAUAUAUAGUUUGAAAUUAUGGAGAAAAAGAGAAUUAAGAAGAUUAGUCUAGUUCAUAAUUAGAAUCGAAUUAGGAAAAGAAGGGAAUGAAUGAGAUUUUAAAAGGAAAAAAAUGAGAAAAAUAUAGUUAGAUUAGGUUACGUUAAUAUAUAGUUUGAAAUAUUGCAGAAAAAGAGAAUUAAGAAGAUUAGUCUAGUUCAUAAUUAGAAUUGAAUAAGGAAAAGAAGGGAAUGAAUGAGAUUUUAAAAGGAAAAAAAUGAGAAAAAUAUAGUUAGCUUAGGUUACGUUAAUACACAGUUUGAAAUAAUGGAGAAAAAGAGAAUUAAGAAGAUUGAGUAAGGUUAGUCUAGUUCAUAAUUAGAAUUGAAUAAGGAAUUAAAGGGAAUGAAUGAGAUUUUAAAAGGAAAAAAAUGAGAAAAAUAUAGUUAGAUUAGGUUACGUUAAUAUAUAGUUUGAAAUAAUGGAGAAAAAGAGAAUUAAGAAAGUUAGUCUAGUUCAUAAUUAGAAUGGAAUUAGGAAAAGAAGGGAAUGAAUGAGAUUUUAAAAGGAAAAAAAUGAGAAAAAUAUAGUUAGCUUAGGUUACGUUAAUAUAUAGUUUGAAAUAAUGGAGAAAAAGAGAAUUAAGAAGAUUAGUCUAGCUUAUAAUUAGAAUCGAAUUAGGAAAAGAAGGGAAUGAAUGAGAUGUUUAAAGGAAAAAAAUGAGAAAAAUAUAGUUAGAUUAGGUUACGUUAAUAUAUAGUUUGAAAUAUUGCAGAAAAAGAGAAUUAAGAAGAUUGAGUAAAAUUAGUUUAGCUUAUAAUUAGAAUCAAAUAAGGAAAAGAAGGGAAUGAAUGAGAUUUUAAAAGGAAAAAAAUGAGAAAAAUAUAGUUAGAUUAGGUUACGUUAAUAUAUAGUUUGAAAUAAAGGAGAAAAAGAGAAAUAAGAAGAUUAGUCUAGUUCAUAAUUAGAAUCGAAGUAGGAAAAGAAGGGAAUGAAUGAGAUUUUAAAAGGAAAAAAAUGAGAAAAAUAUAGUUAGCUUAGGUUACGUUAAUAUAUAGUUUGAAAUAAAGGAGAAAAAGAGAAUUAAGAAGAUUGAGUAAGGUUAGUCUACUUCAUAAUUAGAAUCAAAUAAGGAAAAGAAGGGAAUGAAUGAGAUUUUAAAAGGAAAAAAAUGAGAAAAAUAUAGUUAGAUUAGGUUACAUUAAUAUAUAGUUUGAAAUUAUGGAGAAAAAGAGAAUUAAGAAGAUUGAGUAAGGUUAGUCUAGUUCAUAAUUAGAAUCAAAUAAGGAAUUAAAGGGAAUGAAUGAGAUUUUUAAAGGAAAAAAAUGAGAAAAAUAUAGUUAGAUUAGGUUACGUUAAUAUAUAGUUUGAAAUAAAGGAGAAAAAGAGAAUUAAGAAGAUUGAGUAAGAUUAGUCUAGUUCAUAAUUAGAAUGGAAUAAGGAAAAUAAGGGAAUGAAUGAGAUUUUAAAAGGAAAAAAAUGAGAAAAAUAUAGUUAGAUUAGGUUACGUUAAUACACAGUUUGAAAUAUUGCAGAAAAAGAGAAUUAAGAAGAAAUAUUAAUAGGAAUAUGUUAGGAUUAGGCUAUUGAAGGGUUUAAUUGAAGAUAUAUAUUGAGGGAAGUUUAAAGAUUAGCAACAAGGUAAAAUAUAUAUUAGAAUCAGUUAUGUUACAAAAUGGUUUAGAUAGUUAGAUUAGGUUAGGUCACACAUAGGUUACGUUAAGUUAAUAAAUGGUUUAAAAUAAGAUUGGAAAGGAGGAUUAAGUAGAAAAAAUAAAAGGAAAAUGAUAUAAAUAAAUUAGAAAGUGUUAUCCCAGUGAUAUUUUAAUAAUGACAGUGAUUGGAAUUUAAACAGCAUAGUAGUAGUAGUAGUAGUAGUAGUAGUAGUAGUAGUAGUAGUAGUAGUAGUAGAAUUGAAAGAAGGGUAUUUAAGGCUUUAGUAAUGAAGGAAAAAAUACUUGUUAAUUCGUUAAGCUACAAAGAGGUUUAAAUUAAGAGGAAGGAAAAAAAAGGAAGGAUUUGAAAAGUAGGAAAAAAAGUUCAUAUUUGCUAGAAACGAAAUCUGUGUGUGUGUGUG